Molecule: ribosomal RNA, 1504 nt
Filed under: Helicobacter pylori
Lineage: Bacteria; Pseudomonadati; Campylobacterota; Epsilonproteobacteria; Campylobacterales; Helicobacteraceae
Description: bacterial SSU rRNA
Rfam family: Bacterial small subunit ribosomal RNA
Source: RNAcentral
UUUAUGGAGAGUUUGAUCCUGGCUCAGAGUGAACGCUGGCGGCGUGCCUAAUACAUGCAAGUCGAACGAUGAAGCUUCUAGCUUGCUAGAAUGCUGAUUAGUGGCGCACGGGUGAGUAAUGCAUAGGUCAUGUGCCUCUUAGUUUGGGAUAGCCAUUGGAAACGAUGAUUAAUACCAGAUACUCCCUACGGGGGAAAGAUUUAUCGCUAAGAGAUCAGCCUAUGUCCUAUCAGCUUGUUGGUAAGGUAAUGGCUUACCAAGGCUAUGACGGGUAUCCGGCCUGAGAGGGUGAACGGACACACUGGAACUGAGACACGGUCCAGACUCCUACGGGAGGCAGCAGUAGGGAAUAUUGCUCAAUGGGGGAAACCCUGAAGCAGCAACGCCGCGUGGAGGAUGAAGGUUUUAGGAUUGUAAACUCCUUUUGUUAGAGAAGAUAAUGACGGUAUCUAACGAAUAAGCACCGGCUAACUCCGUGCCAGCAGCCGCGGUAAUACGGAGGGUGCAAGCGUUACUCGGAAUCACUGGGCGUAAAGAGCGCGUAGGCGGGAUAGUCAGUCAGGUGUGAAAUCCUAUGGCUUAACCAUAGAACUGCAUUUGAAACUACUAUUCUAGAGUGUGGGAGAGGUAGGUGGAAUUCUUGGUGUAGGGGUAAAAUCCGUAGAGAUCAAGAGGAAUACUCAUUGCGAAGGCGACCUGCUGGAACAUUACUGACGCUGAUUGUGCGAAAGCGUGGGGAGCAAACAGGAUUAGAUACCCUGGUAGUCCACGCCCUAAACGAUGGAUGCUAGUUGUUGGAGGGCUUAGUCUUUCCAGUAAUGCAGCUAACGCAUUAAGCAUCCCGCCUGGGGAGUACGGUCGCAAGAUUAAAACUCAAAGGAAUAGACGGGGACCCGCACAAGCGGUGGAGCAUGUGGUUUAAUUCGAAGAUACACGAAGAACCUUACCUAGGCUUGACAUUGAGAGAAUCCGCUAGAAAUAGUGGAGUGUCUGGCUUGCCAGACCUUGAAAACAGGUGCUGCACGGCUGUCGUCAGCUCGUGUCGUGAGAUGUUGGGUUAAGUCCCGCAACGAGCGCAACCCCCUUUCUUAGUUGCUAACAGGUUAUGCUGAGAACUCUAAGGAUACUGCCUCCGUAAGGAGGAGGAAGGUGGGGACGACGUCAAGUCAUCAUGGCCCUUACGCCUAGGGCUACACACGUGCUACAAUGGGGUGCACAAAGAGAAGCAAUACUGCGAAGUGGAGCCAAUCUUCAAAACACCUCUCAGUUCGGAUUGUAGGCUGCAACUCGCCUGCAUGAAGCUGGAAUCGCUAGUAAUCGCAAAUCAGCCAUGUUGCGGUGAAUACGUUCCCGGGUCUUGUACUCACCGCCCGUCACACCAUGGGAGUUGUGUUUGCCUUAAGUCAGGAUGCUAAAUUGGCUACUGCCCACGGCACACACAGCGACUGGGGUGAAGUCGUAACAAGGUAACCGUAGGUGAACCUGCGGUUGGAUCACCUCCUUU